UAGGGAAUCUUCGGCAAUGGGGGGAACCCUGACCGAGCAACGCCGCGUGAGUGAAGAAGGUUUUCGGAUCGUAAAGCUCUGUUGUUAAGGAAGAACGAGUGUGAGAAUGGAAAGUUCAUACUGUGACGGUACUUAACCAGAAAGGGACGGCUAACUACGUGCCAGCAGCCGCGGUAAUACGUAGGUCCCGAGCGUUGUCCGGAUUUAUUGGGCGUAAAGCGAGCGCAGGCGGUUAGAUAAGUCUGAAGUUAAAGGCAGUGGCUCAACCAUUGUAGGCUUUGGAAACUGUUUAACUUGAGUGCAGAAGGGGGGAGUGGAAUUCCAUGUGUAGCGGUGAAAUGCGUAGAUAUAUGGAGGAACACCGGUGGCGAAAGCGGCUCUCUGGUCUGUAACUGACGCGGAGGCUAGAAAGCGUGGGGAGCGAACAGG
Molecule: ribosomal RNA, 429 nt
Filed under: Bacteroidota bacterium
Lineage: Bacteria; Pseudomonadati; Bacteroidota
Description: Bacteroidetes bacterium partial 16S ribosomal RNA
Rfam family: Bacterial small subunit ribosomal RNA
Source: RNAcentral